AAUAGGGGCAACCCUUAGUAGAGCGGCGCACGGGUGCGUAACACGUGGAUAAUCUGCCUGGAUGCCUGGGAUAACCAGUCGAAAGAUUGGCUAAUACCGGAUAAGCCCACGGUCUCCUCGGAGACUGAGGGAAAAGGUGGCCUCUGUAUACAAGCUAUCACAACCAGAUGAGUCCGCGGCCCAUCAGCUAGUUGGCGGGGUAAUGGCCCACCAAGGCAACGACGGGUAGCUGGUCUGAGAGGACGAUCAGCCACACUGGAACUGAGACACGGUCCAGACUCCUACGGGAGGCAGCAGUGGGGAAUUUUGCGCAAUGGGCGAAAGCCUGACGCAGCAACGCCGCGUGUGUGAUGAAGGUCUUUGGAUUGUAAAGCACUUUCGACCGGGACGAAACCGUAAAGCCUAAUACGCUUUGCCUUGACGGUACCGGGAGAAGAAGCACCGGCUAACUCUGUGCCAGCAGCCGCGGUAAUACAGAGGGUGCAAGCGUUGUUCGGAAUUAUUGGGCGUAAAGCGCGUGUAGGCGGCUUUGCAAGUCGGGUGUGAAAGCCCUCAGCUCAACUGAGGAAGUGCGCCCGAAACUGCAGAGCUUGAGUGCCGGAGAGGGUGGCGGAAUUCCCCAAGUAGAGGUGAAAUUCGUAGAUAUGGGGAGGAACACCGGUGGCGAAGGCGGCCACCUGGACGGUAACUGACGCUGAGACGCGAAAGCGUGGGUAGCAAACAGGAUUAGAUACCCUGGUAGUCCACGCCGUAAACGAUGAGAACUAGGUGUCGUGGGAGUUGACCCCCGCGGUGCCGUA
This 800-nucleotide ribosomal RNA is filed under the name Corallococcus coralloides. Its description in RNAcentral is "bacterial SSU rRNA". It matches the Rfam family "Bacterial small subunit ribosomal RNA", at positions 70 to 850 of the family's 1533-position model. Lineage: Bacteria; Pseudomonadati; Myxococcota; Myxococcia; Myxococcales; Myxococcaceae. The record is from RNAcentral.